GGAGAUUUAGCUCAGUGGUAGAGUGCUUGCCUAGCAAGCGAAAGGCCCUGGGUUCGGUCCCCAGCUCUG
RNAcentral lists this transfer RNA (69 nucleotides) under Rattus norvegicus (Norway rat). It matches the Rfam family "tRNA". Rfam says of the family: Transfer RNA (tRNA) molecules are approximately 80 nucleotides in length. The record is from Rfam by way of RNAcentral. Lineage: Eukaryota; Metazoa; Chordata; Mammalia; Rodentia; Muridae.